This is a long non-coding RNA of Canis lupus familiaris (dog), 1210 nucleotides long. RefSeq lists it as uncharacterized. The transcript is spliced from 4 exons. NCBI's taxonomy places the organism in Eukaryota, Metazoa, Chordata, Mammalia, Carnivora, Canidae. The record is from RefSeq and is a predicted model, not a curated record.
CUCCCCAGCCUUGGGUGGAGCCCAAUUCUCGAAUACCACCACUGAAUUAGUGUGUAUGUGACCAAUGGCAAAGACCAGAGAGAGCACUUCUGUUUCACCCUUCUGCUGGCAGAUGCAGUGGCCCGGAAGAUUCCUGGUCUGGGAAGGACUCGGUCCCUGAGCGCACCCAUCCCUGACCAUUUUGGCGACCCCCAGUUAGGGGGUGGGUGGGUGGGUUGGACUCUGCAGAGUAAGCUCCUGUCUUCUCAUGGGCAGGGCCUUGGGGAGAGGGAGACAUCCUGGACUAGCUGAUGUCCGUGCCUAGGACCGAGAGAGGCGAGCUGCAGGCUUGCCACUUCAGGGAACGGUAGGUAGGAAGGCACCCCAAGUACGCUCAAGGGCACCCAAUCUGUAAAACGCAGAAAGGCCGACUGCAGGAGGAGUGGAGCCAAAUGGAGAAGAGUCUCAGAGGUAAGAGGGGGUAAAGCACGAGUUCCUCCUCGCUGAGCUCAGCCUUGCGGAUAAUCACCUCUGCCUCUUUCAAUCGCCCCUGGGAGAUGAGCCACCGGGGGGACUCCGGGAUGAACCUGGAAGUACAAGGAGCCAUCUCACUAAGACCAUCCUGCCCAAGGGACCAGGAGCCCAAACAGGGAUUUGUGGCUUGUUGCUGCCCCCUGGUGAAGGCUGAACAGAAGACAUCUGCCGACCCCAACCAGCCAGGAGGAUGCUGGGACUCUACCAGGUGAUACAGUAUGGCCAAGGACCUUGGUGAAGGCUAUUCUUCUCACUGUGGACUUCUCCAACAGACCCUGGAGCCCUGUGGUAGGAAGAUACGAUGUAAUUGAGCCCUCUGAGAACUUUAUGGAAACUAUGGGCCUUUAUUCAGAAAAAAAUGCUCAUAUACAAUCUCUAAAAUUUUGCAAAUAAUUUCAAGAAUAGAUGAACUCCUUAAGCCAUGAAUGUAACUUGAGUUAAAUGCCUUGGAAUUACAUAAAUGACCUGCUAUAGGUCAAAAGAGCACAUGUCCUUCCUGUUGCAAAGUAUGUGCUAGAACCAUAGGUAGCUAAGCGGUAUCAGCCCUAUGAACACAAGAGUUCUGCCUUUAUGCCACUACAGCCACUACUGUCUAGUUAGAUCUCCUCUCAUCAUGCAGAGAAAAUGAUGGUUGGGGAACACAGAGGUGGCCAUUCAUUGUACACUUGAAGAUCUUCAAUAAAGUUCUCUGCAUGUG